This 22-nucleotide unclassified non-coding RNA is filed under the name Tetrahymena thermophila. Its description in RNAcentral is "5'-R(P*GP*GP*UP*CP*GP*AP*CP*AP*UP*CP*UP*UP*CP*GP*GP*AP*UP*GP*GP*AP*CP*C)-3' from Tetrahymena thermophila (PDB 4ERD, chain D)". Lineage: Eukaryota; Ciliophora; Oligohymenophorea; Hymenostomatida; Tetrahymenidae. The record is from RNAcentral.
GGUCGACAUCUUCGGAUGGACC